AGUGAACGCUGGCGGCAGGCCUAACACAUGCAAGUCGAGCGGCAGCGCGGGGGCAACCCUGGCGGCGUGCGGCGGACGGGUGGGGAAUUCGUCGGAAUCUGCCUUUUUGUGGGGGAUAACGUAGGGAAACUUACGCUAAUACCGCAUCCGUCCUACGGUAGAACGGGGGGGACCGCAAGGCCUAACGCAGCAAGAUGAGCCGACGACCGAUUAGCUAGUUGGUGGGGUAAAGGCCCACCAAGGCGACGAACGGUAGCUGAUCUGAGAGGAUGAUCAGCCACACUGGAACUGAGACACGGCCCAGACUCCUACGGGAGGCAGCAGUGGGGAAUAUUGGACAAUGGGCGCAAGCCUGAUCCAGCCAUGCCGCGUGUGUGAAGAAGGCCUUCGGGUUGUAAAGCACUGUUGUCCGGAAAGAAAUCCCUGGAGCUAAUACCUUCGGGGGAUGACGGUACCGGAAGAAUAAGCACCGGCUAACUUCGUG
Molecule: ribosomal RNA, 484 nt
Filed under: uncultured bacterium
Lineage: Bacteria
Description: partial 16S ribosomal RNA
Rfam family: Bacterial small subunit ribosomal RNA
Source: RNAcentral